This 465-nucleotide ribosomal RNA is filed under the name uncultured bacterium. RNAcentral describes it as "partial 16S ribosomal RNA". It matches the Rfam family "Bacterial small subunit ribosomal RNA", at positions 338 to 795 of the family's 1533-position model. The record is from RNAcentral.
CCUACGGGUGGCAGCAGUGGGGAAUAUUGCGCAAUGGGCGAAAGCCUGACGCAGCGACGCCGCGUGAGGGAUGAAGGUCUUCGGAUCGUAAACCUCUGUCAGCAGGGAAGAACGGUCACUGUGCUAAUCAGCAGUGAAUUGACGGUACCUGCAAAGGAAGCACCGGCUAACGCCGUGCCAGCAGCCGCGGUAAUACGGAGGGUGCGAGCGUUAAUCGGAAUGACUGGGCGUAAAGCGAUCGUAGGUGGUAUGUCAAGUCAGGGGUGAAAUCCCCGCGCUCAACGUGGGAACUGCAGUUGAAACUGGCAAACUGGAGUGUGUGAGAGGAUAGUGGAAUUCCAGGUGUAGCGGUGAAAUCCGUAGAUAUCUGGAGGAACAUCAGUGGCGAAGGCGACUAUCUGGCACAUAACUGACGCUGAGGAGCGAAAGCGUGGGUAGCAAACAGGAUUAGAUACCCGAGUAGUC